RNAcentral lists this RNase P RNA (370 nucleotides) under human gut metagenome. Its description in RNAcentral is "Bacterial RNase P class A". It matches the Rfam family "Bacterial RNase P class A". From Rfam's summary of the family: Ribonuclease P (RNase P) is a ubiquitous endoribonuclease, found in archaea, bacteria and eukarya as well as chloroplasts and mitochondria. Its best characterised activity is the generation of mature 5'-ends of tRNAs by cleaving the 5'-leader elements of precursor-tRNAs. Cellular RNase Ps are ribonucleoproteins. The record is from RNAcentral.
CGGUCUGUCGCUUGUCGCGCUACGGCGACAAGAGGAAAGUCCGGGCAACACAGAGCAUCAUAUUUUCUAACGGAAAGCUGUCGGCAACGGCAGGGCAAGUGUAACAGAAAACUACCGCCUGCUCUCAGCAGCAGGUAAGGGUGAAAAGGCGGGGUAAGAGCCCACCGGCUCCGGAGGCGACUCCGGAGGCCGUACAUCCUAUGAGUUGCAAGGUCAAGUAUACCGGCAAACAAGGGUUGCUCGCCCUUUGCCGGGGGGUAGACUGCUAAAGCCCGGUGGCGACACCGCGGCUUAGAUAAAUGACAGACCGGCGCGUCAAUGGUCUUGCUGACAAUCACGCGCCGACAUAACCCGGCUUACAGCGCUUCUG